UGGGGAAUAUUGCACAAUGGGCGCAAGCCUGAUGCAGCCAUGCCGCGUGUAUGAAGAAGGCCUUCGGGUUGUAAAGUACUUUCAGUCGGGAGGAAGGUGGUAAGGUUAAUAACCUUAUCAAUUGACGUUACCGACAGAAGAAGCACCGGCUAACUCCGUGCCAGCAGCCGCGGUAAUACGGAGGGUGCAAGCGUUAAUCGGAAUUACUGGGCGUAAAGCGCACGCAGGCGGUUGAUUGAGUCAGAUGUGAAAUCCCCGGGCUUAACCCGGGAACUGCAUUCGAAACUGGCAGGCUAGAGUCUUGUAGAGGGGGGUAGAAUUCCAGGUGUAGCGGUGAAAUGCGUAGAGAUCUGGAGGAAUACCGGUGGCGAAGGCGGCCCCCUGGACAAAGACUGACGCUCAGGUGCGAAAGCGUGGGGAGCAAACAGG
This 429-nucleotide ribosomal RNA is filed under the name Chloroflexota bacterium. RNAcentral's name for it is "Chloroflexi bacterium partial 16S ribosomal RNA". It matches the Rfam family "Bacterial small subunit ribosomal RNA", at positions 355 to 776 of the family's 1533-position model. Lineage: Bacteria; Bacillati; Chloroflexota. The record is from RNAcentral.